This 126-nucleotide ribosomal RNA is filed under the name Streptomyces albidoflavus. RNAcentral's name for it is "partial 23S ribosomal RNA". It matches the Rfam family "Bacterial large subunit ribosomal RNA", at positions 2801 to 2925 of the family's 2925-position model. The record is from RNAcentral. RNAcentral also lists the same sequence under 1 other name. Lineage: Bacteria; Bacillati; Actinomycetota; Actinomycetes; Kitasatosporales; Streptomycetaceae.
GAGAUGAGUAUUCCCACCUCCUUGAGAGGGUAAGGCUCCCAGUAGACGACUGGGUUGAUAGGCCGGAUAUGGAAGCCCUGUAAGGGGUGGAGUUGACCGGUACUAAUAGGCCGAGGGCUUGUCCUC